UUCGCAAUGCCCGAAAGGGUGACGAAGCGACGCCGCGUGCGGGAAGAAGGCCUUCGGGUUGUAAACCGCUGUCGGGAGUUAGGAAAUGCAAGGAUGUUAAUAGCGUCUUUGCUUGACUAAGGCUCCGGAGGAAGCCACGGCUAACUCUGUGCCAGCAGCCGCGGUAAUACAGAGGCGGCAAGCGUUGUUCGGAAUUAUUGGGCGUAAAGAGCACGUAGGCGGCCGUGUAAGUCGGUUGUGAAAGCCUUCCGCUCAACGGGAGAACGGCAUCCGAUACUGCAUGGCUCGAGUGCGGGAGGGGAGAGUGGAACUUCUGGUGGAGCGGUGAAAUGCGUAGAUAUCAGAAGGAACACCGGCGGCGAAGGCGACUCUCUGGCCCGUAACUGACGCUGAGUGUGCGAAAGCUAGGGGAUCAAACGGGAUUAGAUACCCCGGUAGUCCUAGCCGUAAACGAUGGGCACUAAGUAGAGGGGUUUU
Molecule: ribosomal RNA, 477 nt
Filed under: uncultured bacterium
Lineage: Bacteria
Description: bacterial SSU rRNA
Rfam family: Bacterial small subunit ribosomal RNA
Source: RNAcentral